Molecule: ribosomal RNA, 403 nt
Filed under: uncultured bacterium
Lineage: Bacteria
Description: partial 16S ribosomal RNA
Rfam family: Bacterial small subunit ribosomal RNA
Source: RNAcentral
AUUGAACGCUGGCGGCAGGCCUAACACAUGCAAGUCGAGCGAGCGGCGGUCGGGCGCGUAAUGUAUGGGGACUGCCCGAUAGAUGGGGACAACUACUGGAAACGGUGGCUAAUACCGCAUAUUACCGGAUAACCCAUAUGGGUUUAGCUAGUAGGUGGGGUAAAGGCUUACCUAGGCGACGAUCUCUAGCUGUUCGGAGAGGUUGAUCAGCCGCACUGGGACUGAGACACGGCCCAGACUCCUACGGAGGGGGCAGUGGGGAAUAUUGCACUAAGGGCGCAAGCCUGAUGGAGCCAUGUCGCAUGUAGGAAGAAGGCCUUAGGAUUGUAAAGUACUUGCAGCAGGGAGACGUUACCCGCAGAAGAAGCACCGACUAACUCCGUGCCAGCAGCCGCGGUAAUUC